AUUGAACGCUGGCGGCAGGCCUAACACAUGCAAGUCGAACGAGUGGCGGACGGGUGAGUAAUUUCUGGGAAACUGCCUGAUGGAGGGGUAUAACUACUGGAAACGUUAGCUAAUACCGCUUAACAUCCUAUGUGCUCAGAUGGGAUUAGCUAGUUGGUGGGGUAACGGCUCACCAAGGCGACGAUCCCUAGCUGGUCUGAGAGGCUGACCAGCCACACUGGAACUGAGACACGGUCCAGACUCCUACGGGAGGCAGCAGUGGGGAAUAUUGCACAAUGGGCGCAAGCCUGAUGCAGCCAUGCCGCGUGAGUGAAGAAGGCCUUCGGGUUGUAAAGUACUGUCAGCGGGGAGGCGUUACCCGCAGAAGAAGCACCGGCUAACUACGUGCCAGCAGCCGCGGUAAUUC
This 406-nucleotide ribosomal RNA is filed under the name uncultured bacterium. Its description in RNAcentral is "partial 16S ribosomal RNA". It matches the Rfam family "Bacterial small subunit ribosomal RNA", at positions 30 to 526 of the family's 1533-position model. The record is from RNAcentral.